CCACUAAAAACAAACGUAAAUCCACUACUAACACAACUAAAAAAAACAUAUUCACUAUUCAAAAAUCAGCUAUUAAAACGUAAGUCACUACUAUAUCCUGGAAAAAAUGCAAGAUCAGUACACCACCACCAAAAAGGCCGAUGAGGGUCACUGUAUCAAUCUGAUCAAGAAAAAAAUUAAUUUAUAAGAAUUAAUGGUCCUUUUCACAAUAUCGUUAUCAAAUAGGAACCUUCCCCACAAAGCCUAAAACCAUUGAAUAAAGAUGAUUGAAGCGAAAAAAAAAAAUAUUUACCUUUUUCUACCACCCAUAUAUAUUGUUCGACAACGGUGAAGAGAGGGAAAAUAAGGGUGGGGGCUGGGGCUGGCGACGGGCGGGGGCUGGGCGGCGCCGGGCACCGGCUGGGGCGGUGCCGGGAGGUGGAUCAGGCGGCGCCGGGAGGUGGCUCGGGCGGCGGCUAGGGCGGGGCCGGGAGGUGGCUCAGGCAUCGGCUGGGGCAUUG
RNAcentral lists this long non-coding RNA (500 nucleotides) under Erythranthe guttata (spotted monkey flower). RNAcentral describes it as "long non-coding RNA (EGUT_LNC003709)". Lineage: Eukaryota; Viridiplantae; Streptophyta; Magnoliopsida; Lamiales; Phrymaceae. The record is from RNAcentral.